CCUACGGGCGGCUGCAGUGGGGAAUAUUGCACAAUGGGCGCAAGCCUGAUGCAGCCAUACCGCGUGUGUGAAGAAGGCCUUCGGGUUGUAAAGCACUUUCAGCGGGGAGGAAGGCGUUAAGGUUAAUAACCUUGUCGAUUGACGUUACCCGCAGAAGAAGCACCGGCUAACUCCGUGCCAGCAGCCGCGGUAAUACGGAGGGUGCAAGCGUUAAUCGGAAUUACUGGGCGUAAAGCGCACGCAGGCGGUCUGUCAAGUCGGAUGUGAAAUCCCCGGGCUCAACCUGGGAACUGCAUUCGAAACUGGCAGGCUAGAGUCUUGUAGAGGGGGGUAGAAUUCCAGGUGUAGCGGUGAAAUGCGUAGAGAUCUGGAGGAAUACCGGUGGCGAAGGCGGCCCCCUGGACAAAGACUGACGCUCAGGUGCGAAAGCGUGGGGAGCAAACAGGAUUAGAUACCCCAGUAGUC
Molecule: ribosomal RNA, 465 nt
Filed under: uncultured Klebsiella sp.
Lineage: Bacteria; Pseudomonadati; Pseudomonadota; Gammaproteobacteria; Enterobacterales; Enterobacteriaceae
Description: bacterial SSU rRNA
Rfam family: Bacterial small subunit ribosomal RNA
Source: RNAcentral